GAAAUGCGAUAAGUAAUGUGAAUUGCAGAAUUCAGUGAAUCAUCGAAUCUUUGAACGCAUCUUGCGCUCCUUGGUAUUCCUUGGAGCAUGCCUGUUUGAGUAUCAUGAAAUCUUCAAAGUAAAUCUUUUGUUAACUCAAUUGGUUUCUACUUUGGUAUUGGAGGUCUUUGCAGCUUCACACCUGCUCCUCUUUGUUCAUUGGCUGGAUCUCAGUGUUAUGCUUGGUUCCACUCGGCGUGAUAAGUUAUCUAUCGCUGAGGACACUGUAAAAGGUGGCCAAGGUAAAUGCAGAUGAACCGCUUCUAAUAGUCCAUUGACUUGGACAAUACUUUUAUGAUCUGAUCUCAAAUCAGGUAGGACUACCCGCUGAACUUAAGC
This 378-nucleotide unclassified non-coding RNA is filed under the name plant metagenome. RNAcentral describes it as "partial contains 5.8S ribosomal RNA, internal transcribed spacer 2, and large subunit ribosomal RNA". The stretch from base 1 to 105 matches the Rfam family "5.8S ribosomal RNA", at positions 50 to 154 of the family's 154-position model. The record is from RNAcentral.